AUUGAACGCUGGCGGAAUGCUUUACACAUGCAAGUCGAGCGGCAGCGCGGGGCAACCUGGCGGCGAGCGGCGAACGGGUGAGUAAUACAUCGGAACGUACCCAGUUGUGGGGGAUAGCCCGGCGAAAGCCGGAUUAAUACCGCAUACGGCCUGAGGGUGAAAGGGGGGGGAUCGCAAGACCUCUCGCAGUUGGAGCGGCCGAUGGCGGAUUAGCUAGUUGGUAGGGUAAAGGCCUACCAAGGCGACGAUCCGUAGCUGGUCUGAGAGGACGACCAGCCACACUGGAACUGAGACACGGUCCAGACUCCUACGGGAGGCAGCAGUGGGGAAUUUUGGGACAAAUGGGGGGCAACCCUGAUCCAGCCAUUCCGCGUGAGUGAAGAAGGCCUCGGUUGUAAAGCUCUUUCGGUCAGGAACGAAACGGUAGGUCCGUAAUACGGAUUGCUAAUGACGGUACCUGAAGAAGAAGCACGG
This 474-nucleotide ribosomal RNA is filed under the name uncultured bacterium. RNAcentral describes it as "bacterial SSU rRNA". It matches the Rfam family "Bacterial small subunit ribosomal RNA", at positions 29 to 495 of the family's 1533-position model. The record is from RNAcentral.